RNAcentral lists this ribosomal RNA (503 nucleotides) under Liphistius lahu. Its description in RNAcentral is "partial large subunit ribosomal RNA". It matches the Rfam family "Bacterial large subunit ribosomal RNA", at positions 1793 to 2626 of the family's 2925-position model. The record is from RNAcentral. Lineage: Eukaryota; Metazoa; Arthropoda; Arachnida; Araneae; Liphistiidae.
CAUGGCGCCUGUUUAUCAAAAACAUAGUUUUUUGGAAAUAAGAAAGAAUUUGGUCUGCUCACUGCUGAGUAAAUAGCCGCAGUAUUUUGACUGUGCUAAGGUAGCAUAAUCAUUUGCUUUUUAAUUGAAGGCUGGUAUGAAUGAUUAAAUGUGAUGAAUUCUGUCUCUGUUUUUUUUUUUGAAAUUUAUUAUAUGGUAAGAAGGCCAUUAUUUUUCUGAGGGACGAUAAGACCCUAUUAAGCUUAAUUUUUGAAUUUUACUGGGGCGGUAGUUUAAGAUAGGGAUCUUAAUAUAAAAGAUAAAUAUAUAAUGACCCAAUAAUAUUGAGCAUUAAAUAGAGUUACUAUAGGGAUAACAGCUUAAUUUUUUUAAGGAGAUCGUAUCUUAAAAAGAGUUUGUGACCUCGAUGUUGAAUUAAAGUUUCUAUUUGGUGAAGUAGCUAAAUAAAAGGGCCUGUUCUACCUUUAAAACUUUACCUGAUCAGAUUUCAAACCGCCCAUGGG